Eleginops maclovinus (Patagonian blennie) is the source of this 245-nucleotide long non-coding RNA. RefSeq lists it as uncharacterized. The record is from RefSeq and is a predicted model, not a curated record. NCBI's taxonomy places the organism in Eukaryota, Metazoa, Chordata, Actinopteri, Perciformes, Eleginopidae. The transcript has 2 exons.
GUAGGGAAAAUGGACCAAUCAGGGGGCAGUAUGCACGUAGGGGAAUUCCAGCAGGCUCGCGUAGUCAGUGGGGAGUAAGAGUUUAAUGCGAACUGCGAGGAGUUCUGGUUGCCGCAUUAUUGUGCCUGUUUCUAGUUGACAGUUGACAGUUGAAGCCUACUUGACAGUUGAAUGUGUGCGUGACAACUAAAAAACCACACAACUAAGUAUGUCAUCGAAUCUUCAAUAAAGAAGACCAUUGGAAA